AGAGGGGUGACGUCACCCUUCCUGCAAGCAUGUCAGAGGGCUAAAGCAUGGAGACAGCGGUAGUAGCAUAGGACGGCGGAGCUGCCUGUGCCUAAUUCAUGCAGAGGGGGAUCCUCUGUCACCCCUCCCUUCCAUCCCACACAGCGAGCCCGGGGUGUGAUCGCACCAGCCCUCGCAGACGCCCCUUUUCUGUGGACUGCAUCCUGUUAUAGACCUGGGACCGAGCCAGGGGCGGGAGAGCAGCUUGCCAAAGGAAAAAGAAAUUCGCCGGCCGGCAAGCUUGUGUGUGAACUGGGCUAGGAUCGGGAA
Molecule: long non-coding RNA, 309 nt
Organism: Nanorana parkeri
Lineage: Eukaryota; Metazoa; Chordata; Amphibia; Anura; Dicroglossidae
Exons: 4
Source: RefSeq, a predicted model, not a curated record